This 402-nucleotide unclassified non-coding RNA is filed under the name soil metagenome. Its description in RNAcentral is "partial contains 5.8S ribosomal RNA, internal transcribed spacer 2, and large subunit ribosomal RNA". The stretch from base 1 to 121 matches the Rfam family "5.8S ribosomal RNA", at positions 35 to 154 of the family's 154-position model. The record is from RNAcentral.
GAUGAAGAACGUAGCGAAAUGCGAUAAGUAAUGUGAAUUGCAGAAUUCAGUGAAUCAUCGAAUCUUUGAACGCACCUUGCACCCUUUGGCUAUUCCGAAGGGUAUGCCUGUUUGAGUAUCAUGAACACCUCAACUCUCAUGGUUUGCCAUGAUGGGCUUGGACUUUGGGGGUCUUGCUGGCCUGUGGUCAGCUCCUCUCAAAUGGAUUAGCUUGCCAGUGUUUGGUGGCAUCACAGGUGUGAUAACUAUCUACGCUUGUGGUUUUCCACCAGGUAACCUUCAGCAAUGGGGGUUCGCUGGGGCUCAUAAAUGUCUCUCCUCAGUGAGGACAGCUCUUUGAACGUUUGAUCUCAAAUCAGGUAGGACUACCCGCUGAACUUAAGCAUAUCAAUAAGCGGAGGA